Molecule: ribosomal RNA, 433 nt
Filed under: uncultured bacterium
Lineage: Bacteria
Description: partial 16S ribosomal RNA
Rfam family: Bacterial small subunit ribosomal RNA
Source: RNAcentral
AACGAACGCUGGCGGCAUGCCUAACACAUGCAAGUCGAACGAGACCUUCGGGUCUAGUGGCGCACGGGUGCGUAACGCGUUGGAACCUGCCCUUAGGUUCGGCAUAACUCCCCGAAAGGGGUGCUAAUACCGGCUAUUGUCUUCGGACCAAAGAUUUAUCGCCUUUGGAUGGGCCCGCGUUGGAUUAGCUAGUUGUUAGGGUAAAAGCCUACCAAGGCGACGAUCCAUAGCUGGUCUGAGAGGAUGAUCAGCCACACUGGGACUGAGACACGGCCCAGACUACUACGGGAGGGAGCAGUGGGGAAUAUUGGAAAAUGGGCGAAAGCCUGAACCAGCAAUGACGGGUGAGUGAUGAAGGCCGUAGGGUUGUAAAGCUCUUUUAUCCGGGAUGAUAAUGACAGUACCGGGAGAAUAAGCUCCGGCUAACUCCGUG